This 1652-nucleotide long non-coding RNA is filed under the name Fukomys damarensis (Damara mole-rat). RNAcentral describes it as "lncRNA (ENSFDAG00000029421.1)". Lineage: Eukaryota; Metazoa; Chordata; Mammalia; Rodentia; Bathyergidae. The record is from RNAcentral.
AUUAAUGUAUUUCUAAGGCCCAGACCAGUGAGGGCAAGCCUUUUAGGGUUUUCAGUGACAUGAACAGCCCGCUCGGGCGCAUCUGCUGUGAGUUCGCCACCACUGGUCCAGGUGAUGAACUCAUAGAGGCUGAACAUGGGAACUCAGUAGGGGAAUGUGAAGAUGACCACAUGUUGAUAUUUUGAGAUCACAUGAAGUAUUUUUGCGGGGAGGUUUUACUAGAAGUAGACGAGGGAUAGAGGGAAAUUAUGUGGCUUCACCAGCAGAAGCCACAGCUACCUGUAAGCAGCCAUCUGCAGCUGAGUGGGGUAGAACAACCUUGUGCCUUCCGUACAUCAUCAUCAUCAUCAUCAGCAGCAGCAGCAGGAGCAGCAGCAGCAGUGUUCUCUGUCACCUUUCAUCAUCAAAGGCAGUGGCCAUGAAGAAAGAGAUGGAUGACUUUGCUUUGAUGGAACCGAGAGUCUGUGUAAAACUGUGGAUGAGGCUCCCACCGGGGUUCCACCAGUGGCAAAGUUUUUGGGGCCUGAGCUGAACAAUUCUGCUUGCUUCUGAUGGAUCUCCCCAGAAGCCACUGUGGGCCACAUGUGUACUUGAGAUUUAUGGUUGUUUACUUGGGAAGCAAAUUUUCAUAUGAAACAGGAAAAGAAUUUUUCAUGUAAAGAAUAAAUAUUUGUGUUUGGGAUGGAGAAGCAAAUGUCUUCCUGAGCCCAGUUUCUGCUGCUGGCUGGCUUCAGUGUCUGCUACACGAUAAUAACUCACAUUCACGGACUAACAGAAGGCUCUAUGCUCAGCACAGAAGCGUCAUUUCUUUUUAAAAUCCCCGUAAAACAUACUGUUAUUAUCUGCAUUUGAAGGAUGGGAAGACAGGACUACAAAGGUGGAGGAAUUUUCCUGAGGUUCCCUGGCCGGUCGAUGGCAACUCUGAGUUUUAAACAUGGGAGUUCCCCAGACAUGAGUUUAGUCUGCGCUGUCCUGUUUGGCCUGUAGCUUUCAGAGACAUCUUCAUCUCAGUCCGAUUUUAAAAGUAGGCUCCAAUUUUUGGGCUCAGACAUACCUCUAAAUUUCUCUUCAGUGGGGGCUGAGAAUCACAAGGUCAGUAUUGCUAUUUUGUAGCAAGUCCUGCUGUCUUGUGCUAGCCGCAGGGGAUACUCCAGGAAGGGCAUCAGAUGAUUGGACUGCUCUCUUUUAGCAUUUCUAUUUCAUAUGUGCUGCUGGGGAAAUGCGGCCUUGUAUGAGAGAGGACCCGUGGCUUUUUGGUGUUUCACAGUUGACGUCUCAAAGACAGAGGGAAUGGAGAGCUGAACAGAGUCUGUGAAUCCCCGCUUGUUGGAGGAAAAUGUCAUCAUUUAUUAAGAAGGCAUAAGUUGCAAAUAAACCAUCCUGGGAGUUUCAAAAACCGUUUCCCUGAUGGGCAUGGUGGCAUACAUACGCAAUCGCAGCCCUUGGGAGGCCGAGGCAGGAGGAUCGCUGGGAGUUUGAGGCCAGCCUGGGCUACACAGUGAGUUCAAGACCAGCUUGAAGUACAUAAGGAGACUCUAUAUCAAAAAAGGGAGAAAAAUUUCCCCUCUUAUUUCUUAUUUAAAUCAAUUCUUUGAAAUUAUCCCCACCAGAGACUUUUCCGACACUCUAGUGAAUAGAGUAAAUGAUUAAAC